This 468-nucleotide ribosomal RNA is filed under the name uncultured bacterium. RNAcentral's name for it is "partial 16S ribosomal RNA". It matches the Rfam family "Bacterial small subunit ribosomal RNA", at positions 28 to 507 of the family's 1533-position model. The record is from RNAcentral.
GACGAACGCUGGCGGCGUGCUUAACACAUGCAAGUCGAACGGACAGGCCCUGCUUUUGUGGGGUGCUCGAGUGGCGAACGGGUGAGUAACACGUGAGUAACCUGCCCUUGACUUUGGGAUAACUUCAGGAAACUGGGGCUAAUACCGGAUAGGAGCUCCUGCUGCAUGGUGGGGGUUGGAAAGUUUCGGCGGUUGGGGAUGGACUCGCGGCUUAUCAGCUUGUUGGUGGGGUAGUGGCUUACCAAGGCUUAGACGGGUAGCCGGCCUGAGAGGGUGACCGGCCACAUUGGGACUGAGAUACGGACCAGACGCCUAUGGGAGGCAGCAGUGGGGAAUAUGGCGCAAUGGGCGGAAGCCUGAUGCAGCAAUGCCGCGUGCGUGAUGACGGCCUACGGGUGGUAAACCGCUUUCGACUGUAACGAAGCGGUAUUGACGGUAAUUGGUAAGGAAGCACCGGCUAACUACGUG